UAGGGAAUCUUCCACAAUGGACGCAAGUCUGAUGGAGCAACGCCGCGUGAGUGAAGAAGGUUUUCGGACCGUAAAGCUCUGUUGUUGGUGAAGAAGGAUAGAGGUAGUAACUGGCCUUUAUUUGACGGUAAUCAACCAGAAAGUCACGCUAACUACGUGCCAGCAGCCGCGGUAAUACGUAGGUGGCAAGCGUUGUCCGGAUUUAUUGGGCGUAAAGCGAGNGCAGGCGGAAGAAUAAGUCUGAUGUGAAAGCCCUCGGCUUAACCGAGGAAUUGCAUCGGAAACUGUUUUCUUGAGUGCAGAAGAGGAGAGUAGAACUCCAUGUGUAGCGGUGGAAUGCGUAGAUAUAUGGAAGAAUACCAGUGGCGAAGGCGGCUCUCUGGUCUGCAACUGACGCUGAGGCUCGAAAAGCAUGGGUAGCGAACAGGAUUAGAUACCCUGGUAGUCCAUGCCGUAAACGAUGAGUGCUAAGUGUUGGGAGGCUUCCGCCUCUCAGUGCUGCAGCUAACGCAUUAAGCACUCCGCCUGGGGGAGUACGACCGC
RNAcentral lists this ribosomal RNA (543 nucleotides) under uncultured bacterium. RNAcentral's name for it is "partial 16S ribosomal RNA". It matches the Rfam family "Bacterial small subunit ribosomal RNA", at positions 355 to 889 of the family's 1533-position model. The record is from RNAcentral.